GUCACCUAAGAGGUUGGAGAGCACCUCCUCCUUGUCCGUCCCCAGAGUCCUCCGUCUGCCCCGCUUGAUGCCAAGCAGGCUCUUGAAGUCUGAGUCUCUGAGGUGGUGCAGACGGCAGGUGGGGAGGGAAGGGUCUGGGUGGGGAAGGGGCACCAGGUGCCCAGAGAAGCUCCAGCAGGGACCCCUCGCUGACCAUGGCUGCUGCUGUGAGCUCGUGCGCUGGUGGAGAUGACUGUCCUCAUGACGGUCCUUCUCCUCCUUCCCCCCCCCCACCCCUCUCCCCCAGCGAGGCUCCUCCAUCACGGCCCAACUGCCCGGAGCCUCUCCCAGCCCACCUUCUCUUCCUUCAGUUUCCGGCCUUGGGAGCUUGAGGCCCACCCCCCUUCCAGCCUCAAGGACUUCCCAGCUGUGCUCCGUCCUCAGUGCGGCCCCGAGUGCCCCCUGCAACCUCCCAUGCUGGCCCCCACCCCCAGUCACUGUCCCUAAUCCUCACCUGUCUCCCUAAGCUCUUGUUUCCUGCUGACUUGCCCCUCUCCCACCCAGCCCCCUGCCACCUCGCCUUGUACGUGAAGGUAAAGUUGUGAAGCUCAGUAGCGGGAGGACCCUCUGGUCCAGCACCUUCCCUGUGGCUUGGGGUUUUAUUCUGGGUUCGAUGGUCUUCCCCCCACCUGAACCUUUUCCUCACCAGCCAGCCCCUCCUCCCUGUUAGCAUUUUAACACACUCCUGGCUCAUUCAAUACAAUUUACUGGCAACACUCUUUCAACCCCAGGUCCCCCUGACUCCAGGGCCCUGUCACUGCCGCUCCUGACAGUUCAAUGUUCUGGAAAGUACCUGUUCCUCCUGGCAUUUCCCUCCCGCCCACCCAUUCAUGUCACGAACCAGCUUUCAGCCGUUCAGCUGGGUGCACCCCCCUUCACCCCCGCCCCAACCUAGCCUGUUCUUGAAGCUUCUGUGCAACCACUCGGCUGACACCAUUGCCGGCCUCCGACUGCAAAGCCCAGCAGACGCACCUCUGAGGCUCCCCUGAGACCUCCUCCAGCCCUGACUGGCCUGUCUCCUGGUUUUACUUCUGUCUCUUGAGCCGGUCUAUCUCAUCCUUCUCCUCCACGCUCCUUUUUCUCUGUUGAUCCUGCUGAAAGACUGGGGUCUCCCAGAAUUCUUCGCCUGCCAUUUCCCAAUUGUCCACUUCUCCUUGGGUUUAAAUGCUGUCACGAUGCUGAUGACUUCCCCCACUCCCACCAACACGGGCAUGGGCACCACCCCAGGGGUCUUUCCUGAGUGCCCCCUGUCAACAGGACUUCUCCUGUGAACAGGAGGGAAUGCCAGGAGGAACAGGUACUUUGCAGAACAGGGCAUCUCCUCCUGGCAAUCCCUUCAAACUGGACUCUUCCCUCACUCCCCUGGCUUGCUCCUACUCCUCUUAGUUCAUUCUCUGGGUCGAUGUUGUCUCUGGUCACCCAGCUGGCCAGCUCAACCAUGACCUGGGACCCAAGCCUGGCUCAUCCCGCCGGGGUAUCCGAUCGGUGCCUCCUGCCCGUCUCCAGUGGUUCCUUCCACGCGUCACCAGGCUCGGCCGACGCUACCUUCUUACUGUCGGUGGAGUUCAUCCUUCACUCUGAAGCCACUGUGUCCUCCAGACCCCCUCUGGCUUCUCUCGUGGGAGGUUCAGGGGGCCCCUGCCUCCCCACCCAUGCAUGCCAUCUCUGUCUCGUGUACGGUCCCCUCCCGCUCAUUCUCCAUGCAGCUGCCAGGAUGAACAUCUACAGGUGCAGCUCUGCUCGUGGCAAACUGCCACUUAAAAUUCUUCACAGCUUCCCCAAUGCCUUCAGGAUAAAGUCCAAACUCCUUAGCGGGGUGUUCAAGGCCCCCCCCGCCCCCACCAUGUCCCGUGGUCUGGCGGUGCCUGGGACCAGGAGACUUGUGCUCAAAUCUCAGGUGCACCUCUGCCGUGUGAUUUUGAGUAAGCUACUUAACCUCUGUGAGCCUCCGUGUUCUUGUGUGUCCAGGGCGCUCGGGUGCCGCGUCUGUCUAUCUCAAAGCAGGCACGCAGCCGCUGGUCCCCACCCCAGGGCCUGCGCCCUGCACUCUGCCUCUCGCCCACAGCAGUUUUUGCCCCCGGACAGCAGACGGCCUCGGCCCUAAUGCUGCCGCCCUGCAUCCUCCCCAGAAUGUCCACGGUGCUCUCAGGAAAGCCCUGGAUCCGUCCCCAUCCUUUUGUUUCCACUCACCGGCCACUCUCUGCAGGCCCUGUCCCAGGCCUGCACCUUCCUCUCCACUCCUGACGGGUCUUCUCAGAGAUCCCCUGUGGGAAGCACCUCCUGCGUGCACACACCUAGACUAGGGACUCUUCCCAAAUGCCCCAGGGGAGUCUAUCCAGGCCUUCCCCUCCCGCCUCCCUGGAGGGCUCUUGGCUGAGCCUCGUGGCAGCCCCCCAGAGGGUAGGGAUCAUGUCUUACUUAUCUUUAUAUCCCUAGUAUGGAGUGCAGCACCCCAGGCUGCCUGUAAACCUCUGUUGAAUGAACAAUUUCGACUUGGAUCGUCUCAGGGUGAUACUGGGAUCCUGACUGUAUUUAUCGGUGUAUGAUGCUCUCAUUCUUGUUUGUUUCUGCUCCUCUGGGGAGUAGGGGCCUGGGCGGCCCAUCAGAUUGUAACCUCCCUGAGGGCAGGCUCUCCAGUUGAGGGGUGCCCUGUGCAAUGAGUACACGGCGGGGAGCCUCAUCUGUAUUGCUGACCGCCCGGCUUCUGAGAGGAGGGAACUGUCACGUGGGGUGGCUGGGUCCUAGUCACACUGUGUGCAGAGCAAACGCGGUGGCCGUAGUGGGUCCUGGGCUGUCCCCGAGGUACUGGUUCAUGAGAGGUAGCAGUGGUGGUGGGGGCAGGGCACAUUCGGGAGCAGGAUGGCAGAGCCGAGGCCCGGAGGAAACACACAGUUUCCUGGGAGAGUGGUGGACAUUCGCACCGGGGAAUGUCAGGCAGGGACUCACUUUUUUUUUUUUGCCCAACUGGUUUGAGCUUUUGUUGUAAAGUGAGUUUUCAGGCCAGGUCAGAUCAUCACUGAAUGUCACUUCCCAUCAGCUGAACGGGUGAACUUGCCUGUGUGUAACGUGAUGGAUCCCUGGGGGCUUUCUUCUGCCUGAGGACCCAGGCCGAGCUGGCAGCCCUGGGCCUCAGAGGCGCCCUGGGCUCUGCAGCUUGCCACCAAACCCCCCACACCCCCCACACCCCUCCCACCCCUGAGUUGUUGCACUCCUGGGGUAUUUUGCUUUGAGGAGGAGGUGGACUGCAAGAAGGAUGCACAAGCCCCCCUAAACGUGGCCCUGCAGGAGCCUGCGGGCUGUCCCCUCUGGUCACUCUGGGAAGGUGGGCACCCUCCCCCCCCACCCCGGGCGCCCAGCACUGUGGUCUGGGGGGCUGAUCCCGGGGGAGGGAGGUGAAGCCCGCUGCUGUGCCGGUGUCCAUCUGGUGGACCCUGGCACCUCAGGGACAACUCUUGUUUGUACGCUCACUCUUUUCCCCGUUUGUGGGUGCGUGAUGAACGUGGAGGGCCAGGAGCCGGAGGGCCAUGAAAUUUGUGCCCCUAGCUCUGAACGCCUUUUUCCAUAUCAGAGCUUUCAUAAAGUUGGUCUUCUGAAAAUCUGCUGAGAAACGGGGUUGGGCCAGGUACUCAGCCGAGCUUCAGGAGUCAUGUUCAGUCUAAUGAACAUCUGUGCCUCUUGGUAGAGGGAAGACCUCAUUUGGGUCACUGGUCCUAAGACCGAUGUGAAUAAAAAUUCCUUUAUCUGCCCUCCAGGGCGACCCCUCAGCUGGGAGUGGGUAUGAGUGAGGGCAGGCGCUCCCAGCCCUCCUUGCUUAGGAGCUGGGUGUCUGGGCAUGAGGGAUGCCACGGAUCUGGGGACAAGCCCUCCUCCACAUGCAGUGAUAGAAACGAGCCGGUUGGGGAGGGUGGAGAGGGAAACAGGCAGCCGGUCCCAGGCAGAUGUCUUCUUGCAAGUCCGACUCUCGGCGUGAAGGUUCUGCUGUUGGCAGGUAACUAAACAGUGGGGUAUCUAAACAGAGGAGUGCCCACAUCGGGCAUCUGUAUUUACAGGCGCGGAGUCACUCCAAGAAGCCCCCGGUUGGUGGCUCCCCCAUACGCAGGCACACGGGAGAUCUCUGUCCCUCUCCCCUCCCUUGGGCCAGGCGUCUGGCUCGUGCUGUGCAGGCAGGUCAGAAAAAGAGUCCCCUGCAAGACAAAAAAAAAAAGCCCUCUCUGGAGGAGUUCUGCCAGCUGGGGUCACCAGGAUGCUUGCCCUAGAGUUCUGACGGCGACCUCUUGCCCCCAUUCUCUUCUCUGCCUGACAGAAGGCCUGAAGCUGUUCACAGAUUCUGGACACAAGCAACCGAGCAUGCAGCAGGGCUGUGAAUCAAACAGGGAUGGGGCACUGAGUCUGUCCAUUGAUGGACAGUGGCGGGGGGGACGGCCCCUCAGGAACUGGGCUGGCUGGGCCCGGGGACUCAGAGAAACCAGGCAGCAUUUUUAAGUAUAUUGGCAUGCCGUGUGCAUAUGUGUAUUGGCAGGAACUCACAGCUGUAGGGUCCGCCUAAUAUGUGACUGACCGUAGUCGGGACGGCAUCAUCCUCUGGUGGUGCUGGACAUGAGGAGGAAGUAGAAGGAAGGGUAUCCUGGGGGGCUGUAGCACUGCUGGGGUCCAUUUACAAGGCUUCCUGGUUGUACAAAAGUUAUUUAGAAAAAAAAAAAUCCACUUUCUAAUCUUGCUCCCGAAUAAUGAAAAGCAAUGAGCCUGGAAAUAGUUAGAGGAAGGCAUCAUAACUGGGCUGUGUCCAUUCAUUCAUUCAUUCAUUCACUCAUUCAUUCAUUCAUUCAACUAGUACCUAUGAGUACCUUUUGUGUGCCUGGCACUGGUCCAGGCAUGGAAGCGGGGGGACACACAGAAGGUCAGGCUUUGCUCUCUUGGGGCUCACCUCACCGUGGGGAAACUGAAAGGCAUGGCCAGGAUGUGGUGGAGCCCCUCUAGCACAGGCAGGGAGGUGGCUACACUUGUUCACUUUGGUUUGGACGUGGGGUGCUGAGUUCCCAGAUUUCCCUGUGUUGGAUAUUCUUCCGACCUCUUAAGUUUGGAAACAUGUCAUCUGAGCACUUUUGAUGGAGAUCUUUACAAGGACAUCCCCUCUGCCUUAGGAAGUGUAAUCCCCAGAACACAACCUCAUCUCUUUUCAAUGCUUUGGUCCUAAUCUCCCCUUCCCUUGAUUGUCCCCCAAUCUAUUUUUGCUCCCCUGCGGCCAUACCCCACUUGGCCAUUACCCUUUUGAAUUUAAGACUGACUGGAGGAAGGACAGAACUGAUUCUGUUCAAUGAGCGAGUUGAACCUUGCGUUCAACCCGAGGGUAAUGAGUUCUGGCUUGGUGGCUAGGGUGCUGCAGAGACAGGGUGAUGACUGUUCUCUUACUUUUCUGAGCAUUUUCCUUGCCUUAAGCCGUGUUCUGCAGACUCACAGUGGCUGGAUGUAACUUCUGGCUAAAGUAGGACAAAACUCUGUAAGAUACAGUGUCAAAGUGAGUGACAUGGUGUAUAAUACUUUGGGAGUUUACAGAAAAAAAAAAAAAAAAGAAGACAUUCCCCAGGGGCUGGCAAGUCCCAGGAAAGGUUUUAUGGAACAAAAAGUUAGCUAGGCCUUGAGGACGGGGACUACGGGCUUGGUGAGUUGAGGGGAGGCAGCCCCUUUAUCAAGAAGAAGGAGUAGGCUGAACACUGUGAUGGAGUCAGAGGGUCUUUGUGAUCUGCACACAUAACUCUUCAUGAGGUUCUAUGUGGUGUCAUGUCUUCCACCCACAGCCCAGGCAGGGAUUUAUUAUGCAGAUUCUAGGCCCCUCUGUGCUCCAUAGGCACCCAUGGGUGCCUUUGCUGGCUGUGGGUGCUGCCCAGAUUGUGGGCCUGAAUCACAGGACAGAGACUUGUGCCCCAGCUAUGACUCUGAUGACUCAAAAUGGGACAGCAUCAUGAAGCUUGCAUGUGUCUGUCAAAGGCAGAGGAGGAAGAGGGCUGGUUUCAUCCCCUCUUUGCUCUGUCAAAGGCCCAUCCCUUUCUCUGGAACCCAACUUGCCCUAAUAUUUCAGAAGGAUGGCAAAGUUGCACUUGAAAUCAGGAGCCACCAAUGGGUAUGAGCUCAUGUGGGUAUAUGUUAUUAGCAAAAAAGCAUGAAGGUCUUUUUUCAAUUUAUAAAAUCCCUGGGAAAUCUAGAAUAGGGAAAAGGGGAAAAAAAGCCUUGCAACUGGGCUUAAGACCCUUCUGUGUGAUGCCCAGUUGUGUAUUCACUUAGAGUAAGGUGAAAAGUGUCUUGAAAUCAGUCACUUUAAUGAGUCAACUAUUUUUCAAGUGGAGGAAGAUGUUAAACUUGGAGGCAUUAGGAUCCAUUCAUUCAUCCAACCACUCUUUACUGAGAGCAUAGCAUGUUUGGUUCAAGGUGAGGGAUUCGCAACAGUGGCCACCUCACCCUUCCAUCCCAAGGUCCCAGAGAUGACAGAAUAGAAUGAAUACUUAUAUAAAAUUACAUGAAAGAACAUAAAACAGUGCCAUAAAUUUAAAAAGCGGUGUCCUUGGUACAGAAGAAACUGAGGACUCCCCCAAGGAUGGAGAACACUCAAGAUCAGACUGAUGAGGGAAGCCACAACUCCAAUGUCCCUGCAGAAGAAUCACUAAAAGAUGCGUCCUGGGUCCAGAAGUGGAGGAUAAUGGGGUGGAGGGAGGUGGGAGUACAUGACAGGGUGAGGAGCUGAGGUCACCAGGAAGCUCAGGUAGGCAACUGAAUCCCUUCACACCUCCACAUCCGGCCUCUUCAGGGCAGGCAGUGGGCAGUGGAGACUGCUUGGGUACUUGGGUGAGAGAGCAGUGCUCCAGGGUGGCUGACACAAGCCCAGGAGGAAGAUUCCACUUCUCCCCUCCCUGCUCACUCACUCCGCCAACAGCAGGCACUUCCCCUUCACUUAGGUUGGAAAGGCUGCAGCCAAAGCUACCCUGUAGCACAUCCCACUUCCCACUGCCGACCUGACUUUGCAGUACAGAGAGGGGCAUGCCCCCAGGAUUCACCAAAAAGUUGUAGAAAACCAACUGUGAGAAAGAUGUACUGAUGGUAGAAAGCCAAAGUUCACACCGAAGCAGGUGCUAACAGUGCAAGCAGAAUGAGACUUUUCUGGAGCCUUUGGAAUAAUAAGUACCAUUAUCAGAUCUGUAAAAUGAACAGCAGGAGACCUUGGAAACGGAAGCUGUGCACAAGGACACAUAAGAAUCAACAGAUGGGCUGGACCGGCAAUGUGGAUGAGAGUGAAGAGUGACUGGUGAACUGGAGGGGUUCUCUGCAGCAUGUGGUCUAGAGGACCAUGAGAUGGAGAUACGGAUGGAAGCACUUGAGAGAGAGGUGGAUAACACAGUCUGUCCAGAAGAAGUUUCUGAGGGAUGGAAAGGAUGAGACACAAUAAGGAAGCUUACCAGGAGACAGAGAAGAAACCAUUGAAGACCAAAUUGCAAGAUGAAACAGAAUGACCAAGUGCCAAGAAGGGGGAGUGACAAACACCUGCAGCUAGAUAUAGCACAACAAUGAAGUUAGAGGAAAACUACUUAAAAAAGAAACAGAAACAAAAACUUCCCAGGGAGAGAGGGAAAAGAUGAUCUAAAGUGGAAGAAGGAUGAGAGGGGCAACAGACUUCUCAUUGGCUACACUAGAUGCAGAAAGGCAGUGGAACCACAUACAGGAACACUUCUGGGGUAGGGAAGACUGCAAGCCAGGAAACUGUCCCCAGUAACACUCUCCUUCGUGUGUGCAGGGGAAAGAGUGACUCUGGACGUUUAGGUCUCAAAGUGUUCACCAUCCUCUCUCUAAAAAAAAAAGUCAGAAAAAGGCAGAGGAAAAGUGGAAAUGGAGAACCUCCUUUUUUUUGCUGACUACCCACACUUCUGUCUCAGAAAGAGACAGUCACUUUGCUCCUGGUUGGAGAAGAGCAGACUGAGCAUCUCCCCAGGCCAGCUGGCUGGACAGAAGCGACUGUCAACAGCUCUAGAAGGUCUCAGCCUCCCCUUGUGUGGUCACCAUGGUAAAGUGUGCAACGGGGCCUGACACUGGCCAUCUCCUCUCAGCCCUCAUCCUAGGAUUUGCUUUUUUUCUCUGAAGCCUAAAGAGGCCUGGCUACCUAGCUGGGAUGGCCACCAUCCUGUGGAGUGUUUGCUUCUCUUUAUUCUCAAAUUCAUCCCAUAGGCGUUAAAGAAGGGAUGAGGCUGGGAGAGGCUCUCUCCCCCGGACUGAUGCUCAGGGCAGUAGUAGACACACUUGUGCAACCUUUGCAUACUGGAAGCUGUGCCAUGACAGCCUUAGAUUGCUCAGAACAUUAGGUGUAUGCCUGACUGAGCAGAGGGUCAUGGCCUGGACCUCUGGGAACUCUGCCUAGUGGCCUGGCAAUUUGAGAGUCUGCCAGCCCUGCUGGAGGAAGGAGAGCAAUCCAUUCGGAAGAAGCCCUGAUGGCCUUGGGAAGGAAUGAAGGAAGGAAAUAAAAAUUGCUGUCACAGGCUACAGACACAGAGUGGGAGGAUUCCGGCCAGAAACAGAAAGGGCCGGUUCCCCAGGAGGCUCAGAGGGACUCCGAGCCUGAGGAGGGGGCUGGGGCCUUGUCAGGUUUUGCCCGCAGCUUCUGCACGGCAUCCAGAACUGCGAGGUAGACAGGGAGACGACAGCCCUGCACGGCCAUCAGCCUCCGUCCAAGGGACACGGUCGACGUGGGCACGGGCGAGGCUCCCGGAAGCAAGUCCAAGGUUACCGGAUGCUGACGAAGGGGAGCAGAGACGAAGAAGGAGACUCCAUGAGAAUCAGCUCCAGGGGGACUGCUUCUGAUGGGAUGAAGUCUCUGGCUGGCCUUGCCAGCACCCCAGCAGGCUGUUGUCUGGACUAUCACCCAGGGCAGACACUGAGUACUUGGGACAAGACAUUAAUUUGAAUAUAUUUUGAAGCCAAGAAUCAUGAGACAUGUAGAAGUUCUAUCUGCAUGUACCUGGAUACAUACAUGAGUCAGAGAAGUGGUUUGAGGAUCAUCUGCUGCUGCGAAUGAUUCAUGUGUCAAAAAAGAUCACUUGAGACCUGAGGAGGUGUAACUGACCACAACCCUGCAGCCUGGGCUGUCAAGCUCGCUGGUUCCCCCACAGACCUCUGCCCGCUGACCGUAGAACCUCUUGGUAGCAUCCAAUCCAUGUUUGGCUGCCUAGACCUGGAAUCAACCUGGUUUCCUCUCAGGAAAAGCGCCCCACGCCUCAGCUAGUCUCGUGAACACUCUGCCAGGCUGUCGAGCUCUUGGUGUAGGAAUGCUUUUAAAACAAGGACUGUGACUUUUAUUUCAUGGAUCCUCCCCCUCAAGUAUCCAAUCCAGGGCUUUUAAUGCAGUAAGUAAAUAUUUUUGUACUUAACAUUGGAAUAGUGGAGGGGAAGGAAGACUGGAUUUUCACCUUCCAAGGGUUCAGGUUACACCCCAAGGAAUCACAUUUUUGAAAGGAUCUGGCAACACACAUUAAAAUGCUGCCACUUUUGAGAAACUAUCCUAUGGAAAUGAAAUGCCUGUUCAUAGGGGUGUAUGUAAAAGACCAUUUAUUGCAAAAUCGCUUAGAGUGACAAGAAAUAUCAGAGUGACUUAAAAAUCCAUCAGUAGGGUGCUGGUUGACAAAAGCAUGGUUUAUCCACAUAGUGAGACAUUUUGCAUAUUUUAAAAAUAAUAACUUCGAUUUACAUGUAAUAACCUGGAAAGGAGUCUCUAAGGUAAUAAUAUAGUGUUUAACAAAGAGAUCAA
Non-coding RNA from Odocoileus virginianus texanus, 9820 nucleotides. The record is from RefSeq and is a predicted model, not a curated record. Lineage: Eukaryota; Metazoa; Chordata; Mammalia; Artiodactyla; Cervidae.